AGGAUGGACAGCAUUAAUGUUGGCUGCCAGGGAGGACACCUGGAGAUCUGUAGACUCCUCAUUGAUAGAGGAUGUAAGAUCGACAUCACAGAUGUAUGUUAUCUACUUAGUCUGAUCACAUUACUAUUAAUCUACACACUAAAUCAUGUUGUUAAUUAGACAGUUUUAAUGAAACAAAUAUUUGUGAAUAAUCAUAUAAAGUGGGGUCUCAUUUUGCUUGUUUUGUUCUACUGAAUCCAUUGAUAUAAUUAUUUUACACAUUUCUUGAAAAAAAUAUUUUUUUAAGAUAUCAGGUUUAAUGGAAGUUUUGACAUUUCACAACAAAACAUGUUUAUUUUAUUGUUUAUAUACAAUAUAAAUACAAGUGUGACUGGUCAUUUUAUUCAGUUUUGACCACUGAUUCAUGUGAUAUAUAUUUUGUUUAUAUUUAUUACACAACAUUGUCCAGUUUAUCAGACAAGUUUUGAUGUCAGUUGUAUUAUUCCAGGGUAUGGAUGGACAGCAUUAAUGUGGGCUGCCUUGGAGGACACCUGGAGAUCUGUCGUCUCCUCAUUGAUAGAGGAUGUAAGAUCGACAUCACAGAUGUAUGUUAUCUACUUAGUCUGAUCACAUUACUAUUAAUCUACACUAAAUCAUGUUGUUAAUUAGACAGGUUUAAUGAACAAAUAUUUGUAAUAAUUAUAUAAAGUGGGGUCUCAUUUUACUCGUAUUAUUGUUCUGAAUCAGAAAAUAUUAACUUUUUUCAUGUUUUUUAAAAAAAAUAUUUUUUAUUAAAUGAAUGAUUAUACUGAAUCUACACUAAUUCCUGUUGUUAAUUAGACAGUUUUAAUGAACAAAUAUUUGUAAGAAUCAUAUAAAGUGGGGUCUCAUUUUACUUGUUUUGUUCUACUGAAUCCAUUGAUAUAAUUAUUUUACACAUUUCUUGAAAAAAAUAUUUUUUUUUAAGAUAUCAGGUUUAAUGGAAGUUUUGACAUUUCACAACAAAACAUGUUUAUUUAUUGUUUAUAUACAAUAUAAAUACAAGUGUGACUGGUCAUUUUAUUCAGUUUUGACCACUGAUUCAUGUGAUAUAUAUUUUGUUUAUAUUUAUUACACAACAUUGUCCAGUUUAUCAGACAAGUUUUGAUGUCAGUUGUAUUAUUCCAGGAUGGUGGAGUGACAGCAUUAAUGUGGGCUGUCAGGGAAGGACACCUGGAGAUCUGUAGACUCCUCAUUGAUAGAGGAUGUAAGAUCGACACCACAUCAGUAUGUUAU
This 1254-nucleotide long non-coding RNA is filed under the name Mytilus galloprovincialis (Mediterranean mussel). The record is from RNAcentral. Lineage: Eukaryota; Metazoa; Mollusca; Bivalvia; Mytilida; Mytilidae.